UACGAAGGGGGCUAGCGUUGCUCGGAAUCACUGGGCGUAAAGCGCACGUAGGCGGAUUGUUAAGUCAGGGGUGAAAUCCUGGAGCUCAACUCCAGAACUGCCUUUGAUACUGGCGAUCUUGAGUCCGGGAGAGGUGAGUGGAACUCCGAGUGUAGAGGUGAAAUUCGUAGAUAUUCGGAAGAACACCAGUGGCGAAGGCGGCUCACUGGCCCGGUACUGACGCUGAGAUACGAAAGCGUGGGGAGCAAACAGG
This 253-nucleotide ribosomal RNA is filed under the name uncultured bacterium. RNAcentral describes it as "partial 16S ribosomal RNA". It matches the Rfam family "Bacterial small subunit ribosomal RNA", at positions 524 to 776 of the family's 1533-position model. The record is from RNAcentral.